GUAAAACAUCUAAUCUUGUUCUAUUUCCAUGUCUUUUCAGGGGAGAUGAUAACUCAUUUCCUACCAUCAGUCAAUGUAACCACCUGCUUUUGGAGAAGAAUACCAGGAUGAUGUCACCUAAAUGCUGCAGCACAAGUGGGAACCAGCAUUUUCCCUGUUUGAGUACCUCUGCGAUUCAGUGGAAUGGUUUUGCAAUGGGAAUUUGAGGCUUUCCAGCAGUGCUGCUGCACUCAGAGAAUGUAGAAGCUGAAAAGCACAGCAAGUCUUGAGUUGCACCAAGGCUAUUUGCACCUGUGAAUUCCUCCCUGAGCCCUCGGCUUAUAGCUUUUGUGGAUGUGGUACCAUGUGAAUGAGGCUGGAAAUGAGAAGCUGGAAAAAGACUGCAAGGAGAAGAAAGCAUGUAGGAUCAGCAUGGAGUUUACUUCUUGCUUCUUCACUGAGCUCAGUCAGAGUAUGUACAUGUCAUGGUGGAAGACAUGGAAACAAAUCAAUUGUGGUGUAAAAGGUGUAACUCUUCCUCCUCUUUGCCCAGAAGAUGCAGCUGGUCACAGGUAGGCUGCUCUCC
Molecule: long non-coding RNA, 565 nt
Filed under: Taeniopygia guttata (zebra finch)
Lineage: Eukaryota; Metazoa; Chordata; Aves; Passeriformes; Estrildidae
Description: lncRNA (ENSTGUG00000026025.1)
Source: RNAcentral